This 318-nucleotide ribosomal RNA is filed under the name Conus magus (magus cone). Its description in RNAcentral is "partial 16S ribosomal RNA". It matches the Rfam family "Bacterial large subunit ribosomal RNA", at positions 2048 to 2551 of the family's 2925-position model. The record is from RNAcentral. Lineage: Eukaryota; Metazoa; Mollusca; Gastropoda; Neogastropoda; Conidae.
UUUUAGAUUGUUUAGAAUUUUAUUUUUGGAUGAAAAAGUCCAAAUGUUAUUAAAAGACAAGAAGACCCUAUCGAGCUUUAGAGAAAUUAAUAGGUUUAAUGUAAAUUCAUAUAAGUAAAAGACAUAACUAUUAAACACUUUGGUUGGGGCAACCGAGGAGUAAAUAAAGCCUCCUUUAUUUUGUGAGUCUUACUUGUGUUGAUCCAGAAAUUUUGAUCAAAGAAAUUAGUUACCGUAGGGAUAACAGCAUUAUCUUUUUUGAGAGCUCAUAUCGAAAAAAAGGUUUGUGACCUCGAUGUUGGACCAGAAUGUCCUAAA